Molecule: long non-coding RNA, 567 nt
Organism: Diceros bicornis minor
Lineage: Eukaryota; Metazoa; Chordata; Mammalia; Perissodactyla; Rhinocerotidae
Exons: 6
Source: RefSeq, a predicted model, not a curated record
CCCAACAGAGAGGACACCUUGACUGAGAAGCCUGACCACCCCUUCUGGGCCCUCAUCCUCAUCUGCUUGGCGGGCCUCCUGGUGCUCAUCACAGGCCUGAUCUGCUGUCUCCUGCCAAAAGAAUGCAAUGGUGUCAAGAUUCCUGUUGAUGCCAGUAAACCUAAUCCAAAUGAUGUGGAGUUUGGUAAUCUGUAUUUGGAUAUGAAUGGAAUCAUCCAUCCCUGUACUCAUCCUGAAGACAAACCAGCACCAAAAAACGAAGAUAAAAUGAUGGUUGCAAUUUUUGAAUACAUUGACAGACUUCAAUAUAGUAAGACCAAGACGACUUCUCUACAUGGCAAUAGAUGGAGUGGCACCACGUGCUAAAAUGAACCAGCAGCGUUCGAGGAGGUUCAGAGCAUCAAAGGAAGGAAUGGAAGCAGCAGUAGAGAAGCAGCGAGUCAGGGAAGAAAUACUGGCAAAAGGUGGCUUUCUUCCUCCAGAAGAAAUAAAAGAAAGAUUUGACAGCAACUGUAUUACACCAGUAAGUAGUCUCAGACUUUGCUGGCUAUUGCUAACUCUUAAAUG